This 394-nucleotide ribosomal RNA is filed under the name uncultured Elusimicrobium sp. RNAcentral's name for it is "bacterial SSU rRNA". It matches the Rfam family "Bacterial small subunit ribosomal RNA", at positions 355 to 762 of the family's 1533-position model. The record is from RNAcentral. Lineage: Bacteria; Pseudomonadati; Elusimicrobiota; Elusimicrobia; Elusimicrobiales; Elusimicrobiaceae.
UGGGGAAUUUUGGACAAAUGGGGCGAAAGCCUGAUCCAGCAACGAUGCGUGGAGGAUGAAGGUUCUCGGAUUGUAAACUCCUUUUGAGAGGGAAGAAAAAAUGACGGUACCUCUCGAAUAAGCCACGGCUAACUACGUGCCAGCAGCCGCGGUAAGACGUAGGUGGCAAGCGUUACUCGGAAUUACUAGGCGUAAAGCGCGCGUAGGCGGAAUGUUAAGUCUGUUGUGUAAUCUCUGGGCUCAACCCAGAAACUGCAACAGAAACUGGCGUUCUUGAGUGAGGCAGAGGAAAUCGGAAUUCCUAGUGUAGCAGUGAAAUGCGUAGAUAUUAGGAGGAACACCGGUGGCGAAGGCGGAUUUCUGGGCCUUUACUGACGCUAAAGUGCGAAAGCUA